UUUCCGUAAGUGAACCUGCGGAAGGAUCAUUCAUAAUCAAGUGUUUUAUGGCACUUUUUAAAAAUCCAUAUCCACCUUGUGUGCAAUGUUAGAUCUCGUCAAUCUUGGCGAGAUUUUUAUACAUCAACUCAUUCUUUAACUAAUUUGUCUGAAAAAUAUUAUGUAUACUUAAUUCAAAAUACAACUUUCAACAACGGAUCUCUUGGUUCUC
RNAcentral lists this unclassified non-coding RNA (211 nucleotides) under plant metagenome. RNAcentral describes it as "partial contains small subunit ribosomal RNA, internal transcribed spacer 1, and 5.8S ribosomal RNA". The record is from RNAcentral.